UCUGCGAAUAUAAAAUUCAUCAAAAAUUAUGGAGCUUCCUCAAGCAAAAAGAGAGAUUUCUGCCGUGUGGGACCACUUUGAUGUCAUUUCGGAAAAUAAGAUGACCUUUGGGAACAUUUUGAUCUCGAAGUGGGGAGGCAGACCAAAAGUGCCACAGCUGAUGCCAUCCUUGAGGUGCAGAGAUACAUGGCAGAGGGCAAUAUUGCGAGGUCCCAGGAUCCUCUUGUA
Molecule: long non-coding RNA, 228 nt
Organism: Cyprinodon tularosa
Lineage: Eukaryota; Metazoa; Chordata; Actinopteri; Cyprinodontiformes; Cyprinodontidae
Exons: 2
Source: RefSeq, a predicted model, not a curated record